UGCACUAGUGGAUCCCACUUCUUCAAAAGGAUGCUGGAGGAGAAACAUCACCACCAGCAGCAGCAUCUUCUUAUUUGUUUCUUCUAUUUUUAUAUGUACAAAUUCUUUUUUUUGUAGUAAAAGUUUUGAAUUGAAACAUUUUUGAAUGUCUGUGUUUCCUGUCUGAAUAAAAGAUGAUUGUUACUCAGAGUUGUUUCACUUGAGUUUGACGCCACGAUAUAUUUUGAUGUGAGCCGUUUCUUCAGAGCAAGAUGAAAGACUGAAAAAGGUAAAGGGAACUUCUUUAAUUUGUAAUAAAUAGCCUUUUACUUUAUUGAAAACUUACAGUAUCAAGACUUUUAAAUCGACAUAUGUGCCUAUGUACCAGAUUUGAUUAUCUGUAAUUAUUAUAAAAUUCAAAUGGUUGAGUUAUCUUUAAUAAGGUCACUGAAUAUUUUUGAAAAGAUUUGUUUUAUGUGUGUUUAGAGUUAAAAGUUCCUCAGUGAGGCGGGAGUGUAGCUGGAAUUCAAAGCGUAUGUUUUUUUUCUCCAGAAUAUUUCCUCUCUUUUGACUUUAAAGUUCCUUAAAUGACUAAGUUCAAGUCUUCAAAUGUCCAUGAAAACCUUUGAUCGCCAAACUGUUUUACUGAUUGUUUUUUCAGAUGCGUCUUAAUGUGAUUGGAGUCCAGCUGUUCAGUUAUCUGGAGAUGAUUUGGGGAGACGCACACCUGUGAGCUCCUAAAGCAGACAGUUCAAGUCAGAGUACAAACCGUCCAUCUCAAGGGACUGUCUGCAGACAAGCUGUACGGUCAGAGGAGGAAACUGACCGGAGAAUAAAGCCUGCAAGAUGAGAUCAUUUGAGUUGAAAGCCUUUGACACUUCCUAGAUUCUCUGGAUUAUUUUCUGACUUUUGUAACACCUUGGAAAGACUUUGAGGAGUUGCUCCUCCAUCACUUGUCACCGGCAAUCCUGGAGGUGGUGGAGAUGGCAAAGCGGACGUGGGUAGAUGGUGAAGUUCUGCCCUUUUCAAAAGCUACAGGGAAGGAGAAAUGAACAGGAACUCUUGAAUCCACCUAUUAGGAGUUGGAGGAGUAGAGUGACGGCUGCUGUCGGUGCUGCAUCCGCUCCAGCAGAAUAUGAUCAACUCUGCAGCACAUGGCUGAAGGCUUGAGAGGUGAAGUUGGAGCAAGGAGCAGAUGCAAAUAUAAGGAGAAUCUUCAGAGAAUCUACGGUUUGGUGGUAUGUAGCAAAGAAUGAAGAAAUUUUUCAUUUCUAAAAUUAAAAAUUGCUGUUUUUUUUUCACUAGAGAAAUACUGUACAUUCAAAGAAAUUACUACAAAAUGUAAUUUGAAGUAAACGUUCUAGCAAUUUCAUUCACUGAGUGGAUCGUAGUGGUCACAAAAACAAAGAAAUUCUUCAAAUUACACUUCAUAAAAAGUAAAGACAUCUA
Molecule: long non-coding RNA, 1428 nt
Filed under: Oryzias javanicus (javanese ricefish)
Lineage: Eukaryota; Metazoa; Chordata; Actinopteri; Beloniformes; Adrianichthyidae
Description: lncRNA (ENSOJAG00000009625.1)
Source: RNAcentral